Molecule: ribosomal RNA, 754 nt
Filed under: uncultured bacterium
Lineage: Bacteria
Description: bacterial SSU rRNA
Rfam family: Bacterial small subunit ribosomal RNA
Source: RNAcentral
UUGCUCUGCCGGCGACCGGCGCACGGGUGAGUAACACGUAUGCAACCUGCCCUCCGCAGGGGGAUAACCCGGAGAAAUCCGGACUAAUACCGCGUGGUACACUUGUGGGGCAUCCCACGGGUGUUAAAAGGAAGUGAUUCCGGCGGAGGAUGGGCAUGCGGCGCAUUAGCUUGUUGGCGGGGUAACGGCCCACCAAGGCGACGAUGCGUAGGGGUUCUGAGAGGAAGGUCCCCCACACUGGUACUGAGACACGGACCAGACUCCUACGGGAGGCAGCAGUGAGGAAUAUUGGUCAAUGGGCGGGAGCCUGAACCAGCCAAGUCGCGUGAGGGAAGACGGUCCUAUGGAUUGUAAACCUCUUUAGGCGGGGAGCAAUGCCGGGCACGCGUGCCCGGAGGGAGAGUACCCGCAGAAUAAGCAUCGGCUAACUCCGUGCCAGCAGCCGCGGUAAUACGGAGGAUGCGAGCGUUAUCCGGAUUUAUUGGGUUUAAAGGGUGCGUAGGCGGAUUUUUAAGUCAGCGGUAAAAUGUCCGGGCUCAACCCGGGCCGGCCGUUGAAACUGGGGAUCUUGAGUGGGCGAGAAGUAUGCGGAAUGCGUGGUGUAGCGGUGAAAUGCAUAGAUAUCACGCAGAACUCCGAUUGCGAAGGCAGCAUACCGGCGCCCGACUGACGCUGAGGCACGAAAGCGUGGGGAUCGAACAGGAUUAGAUACCCUGGUAGUCCACGCAGUAAACGAUGAAUGCUAGUUGUCCGG